GCCGGGUUGGCCCAAUCAGGUAGAGGCGCCGCGCUCAAAACGCGGAGGUUGCGGGUUCGAAUCCCGCCCCCGGCA
This 75-nucleotide transfer RNA is filed under the name Corallococcus exiguus. Its description in RNAcentral is "tRNA-Leu". It matches the Rfam family "tRNA". From Rfam's summary of the family: Transfer RNA (tRNA) molecules are approximately 80 nucleotides in length. Their secondary structure includes four short double-helical elements and three loops (D, anti-codon, and T loops). Lineage: Bacteria; Pseudomonadati; Myxococcota; Myxococcia; Myxococcales; Myxococcaceae. RNAcentral also lists the same sequence under 3 other names. The record is from RNAcentral.